AACGAACGUUAGCGGCGCGCUUAACACAUGCAAGUCGAACGCGUGAGAGCUUGCUCUCACGAGUGGCGCACGGGUGAGGAACACGUAGGUAAUCUACCCUCGAGUGGUGGAUAACUCUCCGAAAGGAGAGCUAAUACAGCAUGAGACCACGUUUCCUCGGAGAUGUGGCCAAAGCGGGGGAUCUUCGGACCUCGCGCUUGAGGAUGAGCCUGCGGCCCAUCAGCUAGUUGGCGGUGUAAUGGACCACCAAGGCUAAGACGGGUAGCUGGUCUGAGAGGAUGAACAGCCACACUGGAACUGAGACACGGUCCAGACUCCUACGGGAGGCAGCAGUGGGGAAUCUUGCGCAAUGGGCGAAAGCCUGACGCAGCGACGCCGCGUGAGCGAUGAAGGCCCUCGGGUUGUAAAGCUCUGUGGAUGGGAAAGAAGAAGUGCAAGCUAACACCUUGCAUGGUGACGGUACCCAUUUAGCAAGCACCGGCUAACUCUGUGCCAGCAGCCGCCGUAA
This 508-nucleotide ribosomal RNA is filed under the name uncultured bacterium. Its description in RNAcentral is "partial 16S ribosomal RNA". It matches the Rfam family "Bacterial small subunit ribosomal RNA", at positions 29 to 523 of the family's 1533-position model. The record is from RNAcentral.